Molecule: ribosomal RNA, 241 nt
Filed under: uncultured Staphylococcus sp.
Lineage: Bacteria; Bacillati; Bacillota; Bacilli; Caryophanales; Staphylococcaceae
Description: partial 16S ribosomal RNA
Rfam family: Bacterial small subunit ribosomal RNA
Source: RNAcentral
CGGACGGGUGAGUAACACGUGGAUAACCUACCUAUAAGACUGGGAUAACUUCUGGAAACCGGAGCUAAUACCGGAUAAUAUAUUGAACCGCAUGGUUCAAUAGUGAAAGACGGUUUUGCUGUCACUUAUAGAUGGAUCCGCGCCGCAUUAGCUAGUUGGUAAGGUAACGGCUUACCAAGGCAACGAUGCGUAGCCGACCUGAGAGGGUGAUCGGCCACACUGUAACUGAGACACGGUCCAG